Molecule: long non-coding RNA, 285 nt
Filed under: Lathyrus oleraceus (garden pea)
Lineage: Eukaryota; Viridiplantae; Streptophyta; Magnoliopsida; Fabales; Fabaceae
Description: Pisum sativum (pea) long non-coding RNA (PSAT_LNC012881)
Source: RNAcentral
UCGGUUAUGCAAGAGGAAGGUAUUAGCACCCCUAACAUCCAUGGUACUCCAUGGGAACCGUUUUGAUUGUUCUAGCUCAAACAGGUGUUAUCUGAAGAUUACUCGUAGAAGAAUGGGAAAAGGAAAAGAAAUAGAUAAAGCGCUCGGUGAGGAUUAGGGCCCUCGUGCCUACGUAUCCUCAUAGUACAGUGAGGAAUUCAGGACUCUGUAGUUCAAAGAACUAGUGGUAGGAGGUGAAAGGAAUUGUGAUUAAAGUGUGGUUUGAAUGAAAGAAUAGUGAUUUGA